RNAcentral lists this ribosomal RNA (375 nucleotides) under Triticum aestivum (bread wheat). Its description in RNAcentral is "partial small subunit ribosomal RNA". The record is from RNAcentral. Lineage: Eukaryota; Viridiplantae; Streptophyta; Magnoliopsida; Poales; Poaceae.
AUGAAAAAGGAAUUGGAAAGGCAGACAUUAUUUAAGACUAGACGAUGCAUGUCUGCCCGGCCAGGCCAGGGCCUUCAGUGUCAACGCUCGGCGCUCGACGGGCCCGUGCCAUGUGAGGAGGUCAGAGUAGGCGGGGCUGAGUGGCGACGUGUUGUUUGUUACUGGAGAAAAGAUGCUGACCGAACUUGGAUUAAGCUGCGACACUCGUACUACUUAAUUUGGCUUCCGGAAAGUGUAGUUUUGGUGGCUGGGUCCGUCGUCCGGAAUGCUUUGUUUGGGAUGCAAGCAAUGCGAUGCUUGCUCAUUCUACGGGCGUACGAGUACGACGUAUUUCGACUGGAUAAUCUUGUUGCCUUGGAUGUGGUGAUAAGUUAG